UACAGAGGGGGCAAGCGUUGUUCGGAAUUACUGGGCGUAAAGGGCGCGUAGGCGGCCUUCUAAGUCGAACGUGAAAUCCCCGGGCUCAACCCGGGAACUGCGUCCGAUACUGGAAGGCUUGAAUCCGGGAGAGGGAUGCGGAAUUCCGAGGUGUAGCGGUGAAAUGCGUAGAUAUCUGGAGGAACACCGGUGGCGAAGGCGGCGAUCCUGGA
This 212-nucleotide ribosomal RNA is filed under the name uncultured bacterium. Its description in RNAcentral is "partial 16S ribosomal RNA". It matches the Rfam family "Bacterial small subunit ribosomal RNA", at positions 524 to 733 of the family's 1533-position model. The record is from RNAcentral.